RNAcentral lists this ribosomal RNA (425 nucleotides) under uncultured bacterium. Its description in RNAcentral is "bacterial SSU rRNA". It matches the Rfam family "Bacterial small subunit ribosomal RNA", at positions 354 to 796 of the family's 1533-position model. The record is from RNAcentral.
GUGGGGAAUAUUGGACAAUGGGGGCAACCCUGAUCCAGCAAUGCCGCGUGAGUGAUGAAGGCCUUAGGGUUGUAAAGCUCUUUUACCGGGGACGAUGAUGACGGUACCCGGAGAAUAAGCCCCGGCUAACUUCGUGCCAGCAGCCGCGGUAAUACGAAGGGGGCGAGCGUUGUUCGGAGUUACUGGGCGUAAAGGGCGCGUAGGCGGCGCUCCAAGUUAGGCGUGAAAGCCCCGGGCUCAACCUGGGAAUUGCGCUUAAGACUGGAGUGCUCGAGUGCGGAAGAGGUGAGUGGAAUUCCCAGUGUAGAGGUGAAAUUCGUAGAUAUUGGGAAGAACACCAGUGGCGAAGGCGGCUCACUGGUCCGCAACUGACGCUGAGGCGCGAAAGCGUGGGGAGCAAACAGGAUUAGAAACCCGAGUAGUCC